AGAAAAUGCUGGAAAAGCUCAAUGAUGCUUGUCCUGCUGAGUAUUUUGCUAAGCUUGUUUUGCAGCAUAUUUCACCAUGUGAUAACAGCAGGAGUCUCCUGGUCAGCCAGAACCAUUUGGUAGCUGUAGAACAGCCACUCCACCUCAAAGGACUCCACAGGUUCUCAGCACAAGGGGCUACCAGAAGAUGACCUUGGUAAUUCAAUGUUAUAGAUUUGCUGUGGCUUCAAUGCUUUAAUGUAUUUCCUAUGAUAAGGUCCCAAAACAAUUCUGUAUUCUAACCUAUGGCCUUGGACAAAAUUAUUUCACUUUCACAUCUAUGGCCCUGGUUAUCAAUCUCAAAAUAUUGGUCUUGUGGUUUCAAUUAUCUAUGCUCCUACUUCAAGAAUUCUGUAUUUGAACCCAUUAUCCAUCCACAUCCUUCAGCAACUUUCCAUUGAGUUCAUAAUCUUAUUCCUGGUUUCCUCCUAAAAUGUGUAACUUCACACUUCUCUGCAUUAAGUUAAAUUUACAAUUACAUUUGCCAUUUGAUACCCUUGCCACUAGUUUGCCAAUGCCCCCCAAAGUUUUAUAUAAGUUUUAUUUGUUUUGAACCCAUUCAUUACACCAUCAGUAAAUAAUCUUGUAUUCCCAUAUCAUCUAUGUCAAGAUCAAAAGUAGUCCCAGCACUGACCAUUAAAGUAGACAACCUCACUCUUCAAACCAAGCAAGAUCUGUUAUCCUAAACUUGGUUUCCUCUAUCAACUUUGUAUUCAUGUGCUGCAUUUCCCCAUUGCCUGAAUUUUGGCAAAAUAUCUGAAUUAAAUUGGUAAAUGCUUUGAAAAUCCAUGUACACUACAUGCCUUUAUCAAAAGUCACCUUUGCAAACAACUAUUAAAUCUAUUAAAUGUGCCAAAUCAAUUUGCCUUUAACAAAUCCAUUGACACUCCUGCAGUGUAGGAAUGCUCUCAUUUUAGGUUGAAUUAUUGGUUCUAAAA
Molecule: long non-coding RNA, 977 nt
Organism: Carcharodon carcharias (great white shark)
Lineage: Eukaryota; Metazoa; Chordata; Chondrichthyes; Lamniformes; Lamnidae
Exons: 3
Source: RefSeq, a predicted model, not a curated record